Molecule: ribosomal RNA, 792 nt
Filed under: uncultured bacterium
Lineage: Bacteria
Description: bacterial SSU rRNA
Rfam family: Bacterial small subunit ribosomal RNA
Source: RNAcentral
AGAGUUUGAUCAUGGCUCAGAGCGAACGCUGGCGGCGUGCUUAACACAUGCAAGUCGAACGCGCAGCAUUCUGUAGCAAUACAGGGUGUGGGCGCGUGGCGAACGGGUGCGUAACACGUGGAUAACCUUCCUUCAGGUGGGGAAUAACCCAGUGAAAAUUGGGCUAAUACCGCAUAACAAAGCGAGAAGACAUCUUUUUGCUUUCAAAGCCGCAAGGCGCCAGAAGAGGGAUCCGCGGCCGAUUAGCUUGUUGGCGGGGUAACGGCCCACCAAGGCAUUGAUCGGUAGCCGGACUGAGAGGUUGGCCGGCCACACUGGAACUGAGACACGGUCCAGACUCCUACGGGAGGCAGCAGUGGGGAAUCUUGCACAAUGGGCGAAAGCCUGAUGCAGCAACGCCGCGUGGGGGAUGAAGCUUCUCGGAGUGUAAACCCCUUUCGACCCGGAAGAAAGCCCGCAAGGGUUUGACGGUACGGGUAUAAGAAGCCCCGGCUAACUACGUGCCAGCAGCCGCGGUAAAACGUAGGGGGCCAGCGUUGCUCGGAAUUACUGGGCGUAAAGGGUCCGUAGGCGGUGUGGCAAGUCGGUAGUGAAAUCUCUGGGCUUAACCCAGAGGCUGCUGCCGAAACUGCCGUGCUAGAGUGUGAGAGAGGCGAGUGGAAUUACGGGUGUAGCGGUGAAAUGCGUAGAUAUCCGUAGGAACAUCCGAGGCGAAAGCGGCUCGCUGGAUCACAACUGACGCUGAGGGACGAAAGCUAGGGGAGCAAACAGGAUUAGAUACCCCAGUAGUCC